UGCUUUUGUUUGUCUUUCUUUAUGUUAACUUAAAAUUUAUUUUUUACAGUAUUCUGUGGUAGAGUUUGUGUCUGACCCUGGAAAUGAUGAAGAGGAAUACCUUGUGGAAGUUGUACCAACCAAGUGGAUUAGCGAGGAUAGAGAAUUCUGUUAUUAUCCGCCACAUUCCAUGAGGGGGAUUUUCCCCCCAAAUGUACGAAGUUGGUGAUGAGUCUAGCGGACUAUGACUCGUCCGAGUGGAAACUCCUCCGCAUUAUAUACCAUCACAGUUAUUCUACUUUCAAUGUUGCCCUAAAAGCUAGAAACAAGGCCGUGAAGGAGGACACAAUUGUUGCAACAGAUGUUGAUACAGACUAUACACCAAACCACGCAACAGAAAGCCACCUAAGCUCAGUUUUGAGAAGUCCAAAGUAAAAAGUAGAAGGUGUUUGCUUGAAGAAGUUUCCUACAGUACAGAUUUCCGUAUUUGAAGACCAUAUGAAACGAUGGUUCAACACUUCCAUGCAACGGUCAGACUAGAUCAACUAGGUUGGGAAACUACAGUUGUAUUUCGACUUUACCGUUUGUGAGCUUCAUAAAAGCUUUUGUAUAUUGAAAACUUGCGUGAUUCUCAUGAAUUCUAUUAUUUGUCUUUUAUUUUUUGGUUUGAGUUGUUUUGCAUAGUU
Molecule: long non-coding RNA, 665 nt
Organism: Temnothorax curvispinosus
Lineage: Eukaryota; Metazoa; Arthropoda; Insecta; Hymenoptera; Formicidae
Exons: 3
Source: RefSeq, a predicted model, not a curated record